AUCGCUUCUCGGCCUUUUGGCUAAGAUCAAGUGUAAUAUCUGUUCUUAUCAGUUUAAUAUCUGAUACAUCCUCUAUCCGAGAACACUAUAUUAAAUGCAUUUUUGGAACAGGGAGUUGGAAUAGGGGCUUGCUCUGUCUGCUUCAUUCAUUCACCUGGCAUUGCAGUACUUCCAGGAAUGGUGCCCCCCAU
This 191-nucleotide small nuclear RNA is filed under the name Erinaceus europaeus (western European hedgehog). Its description in RNAcentral is "U2 spliceosomal RNA". It matches the Rfam family "U2 spliceosomal RNA". Rfam says of the family: U2 is a small nuclear RNA (snRNA) component of the spliceosome (involved in pre-mRNA splicing). Complementary binding between U2 snRNA (in an area lying towards the 5' end but 3' to hairpin I) and the branchpoint sequence (BPS) of the intron results the bulging out of an unpaired adenosine, on the BPS, which initiates a nucleophilic attack at the intronic 5' splice site, thus starting the first of two transesterification reactions that mediate splicing. Lineage: Eukaryota; Metazoa; Chordata; Mammalia; Eulipotyphla; Erinaceidae. The record is from Rfam by way of RNAcentral.